This is a non-coding RNA of Chloroflexi bacterium RBG_13_46_14, 166 nucleotides long. Lineage: Bacteria; Bacillati; Chloroflexota. The record is from Rfam.
AACAAUCGAAUAAGAUAUCCCGAGACAGCGGGUGUCGUAAAAGACUUAAUAGUAGUACCUGCCGAGGAUAACUCAGAGCUAGAAACUACGCAGUUCACUUAUCAAUUUUUGCGUAGCACAGUAAUGGUCCUUGUGCGGUCGACACAAGGACUUUUUUAUUGAGCUA